RNAcentral lists this ribosomal RNA (119 nucleotides) under Pteropus alecto (black flying fox). Lineage: Eukaryota; Metazoa; Chordata; Mammalia; Chiroptera; Pteropodidae. The record is from RNAcentral.
GUUUACGGCCAUGCCACCCUGAACAUGCCCGAUCUUGUCUGAUCUCAGAAGCUAAGCAGGGUCGGGCCUGGUUAGUACUUGGAUGGGAGACCACCUAGGAAGACCAGGUGCUGUAGGCU